Molecule: ribosomal RNA, 524 nt
Filed under: uncultured bacterium
Lineage: Bacteria
Description: bacterial SSU rRNA
Rfam family: Bacterial small subunit ribosomal RNA
Source: RNAcentral
GGUUUGAGAGAACGAUCAGCCACACUGGAACUGAGACACGGUCCAGACUCCUACGGGAGGCAGCAUGGGGAAUCUUGCGCAAUGGGCGAAAGCCUGACGCAGCAACGCCGCGUGCGGGAUGACGGCCUUCGGGUUGUAAACCGCUUUCAGCAGGGACGAAAAUGACGGUACCUGCAGAAGAAGCUCCGGCUAACUACGUGCCAGCAGCCGCGGUAAUACGUAGGGAGCAAGCGUUGUCCGGAUUUAUUGGGCGUAAAAGAGCUCGUAGGCGGUUCCGUAAGUCGAGUGUGAAAAAUCUGGGCUCAACCCAGUGGAGCACUCGAUACUGCGGUGACUAGAGUCCGGUAGGGGAGUGUGGAAUUCCUGGUGUAGCGGUGAAAUGCGCAGAUAUCAGGAGGAACACCGACGGCGAAGGCAGCACUCUGGGCCGGUACUGACGCUGAGGAGCGAAAGCGUGGGGAGCAAACAGGAUUAGAUACCCUGGUAGUCCACGCCGUAAACGUUGGGCACUAGGUGUGGGAGGG